This is a long non-coding RNA of Syzygium oleosum, 2641 nucleotides long. RefSeq lists it as uncharacterized. Lineage: Eukaryota; Viridiplantae; Streptophyta; Magnoliopsida; Myrtales; Myrtaceae. The transcript has 4 exons. The record is from RefSeq and is a predicted model, not a curated record.
CUGCCCUCACUUCCAAUUUGCCCGCCCUCACCCGCCAUUCUCUUCUCUCUCUCUGCUGAUUCCUCAGAUCCUCCCUGCACUCGCUGUUCUCCCUGCCUCUCCCUCUUUCGUCUCUCGAUCAGAUCUGCACUCGCUGUACCCCUCGCUAGAUAUAGAACCUACCCCUCGCACCGCAGCUUCGAUGAUGGUGGAGAGGACGCGCCGCCGCGGAGGAGGAGGAGGAGCAGCAGCAGCAGCAGCUGGGCCCCGCGUCCCUUCGGGUUCCCUCGGCCCCCCGUGUUUCCCUCGCCCCCGUCCCUCCCUCGUCCGAAUUGGGGGGCGGCGCCGCCGCCGAACUGGCCUCGAGGUACUUCCCCUUUGGGUGUUCCGGUUGGUGUUCGCUGGAUGGGGUCGUCGCGUUCCGUGAUUCUUGCACCCGAUUGCCGGCUCGUUCGUUUGAUUGCGUGCUCCUCCCGUUCUCUCGGGUGCCUGAUUGCUCGAUUCUAGCUGCGUUCCUGCUCGUUCUCGACUGUUUCGGGUGUAGUUUGGGGUAAAGGGGGUUCUGGUGUUGUAAUUCGUGAUUUUAGUGCUAGUGUUGCGUGCUGAAUUUCAAGCGAUGUUUCUGGGUGCGACAGUGGUGUUGCUUGGCUUUUGAUUUUCGUAUCCAGCGGGGUUCUGUUAGCUGAAUUACUGGGCUGAGUGUUCAAAUUCGGAGCUUUUGCAAUGCUCUCGGGGAAGUAAACUUUUUGGUGCAUAAACUUCUUGACCAAGCUUUUCUUGAAGUUGUGGAGUGUGCUCUGUCAACGAGGUUGGCAUCUUAUUUUUCCUAAAUGAUGGUAGAUAAGCUCUGACAUCUGUUUUAAUAUGGGUGAUGGUAUGGCAGUAAAACACUUAUCAGCAUGGCAAGCCAACUUUGAUUGAUGGGGAUGUAUUAACUUGGUAUCCUAACCCAGGAAGAAUCUCCUAGGAUAUUGACUCAUGGCUAGGAAGGGCAAUCAGCAGAAGAAUGGGGUUAGUAGUUCCUCACAGAAUGGCAAAAAGAAGGGUUCAGAAACACAUCAAGAAAGAAGACAAGCUACUGACGUGAAGAUUCCUCCUAAAGAGACAACUGUGAACAGUCAUCACUCGAGCAACGUGUCGGCUGAGAGCAUGAGUCAAGGAACUGGGAAACUAAUGAGUAUGGAUAAACAAGGGACAGAUGCAGCUCAGGGAUUAGAGCACCCAGUUCUGUCUGGGGAAUCUUCAGGGGAUUAUAUUCAAAAUGCAUCUCCUAUGGGCAUGUCCCACGAGAGAGAACAAGGUGGACUACAUUGUGAUAAUAAUUGUCAAAAUAGCCGAAAAGGUGGCCUGGGCUGCAAGCUGAAUGGGCAUAUAACGAAUCUAAUAGAAAAUGUCCACAUAUUUGACAAUUUAGUUGUUAGAAAUGUGAGAAGAUCAGUUUUGUGUGUCCUAAAGGCAGCUGGAGAGUGGCUAGAGUCACAAAGACCUUUUGUCAUUAAUUUAAAAGGUGACAUACUAAAGGCUCGUGACUAUGUCAAAGUGAAGAUUGAGCUGGCCUACUAGGUUGUUUUGAAAUGGCUUGUAUACUUUGGGAACACAAUGUUUCUCUUAUCAAUGAUUUGGUUGGAUUGCACUCUUAGGGGAAUCGAUUCUUUCCUACAUAUGGGGACUACAUCUUUCUUUUCUAUCAUAUGGUGUGGAAUUUUCUCAGCUAUCGCUAUGGUCGGCAUGGUAAAGUUUCUUGUGGUCUCGGUAAGUCACUCAUCACUUUUUUCCUUUUAGGUCGAAAAGUCACUCGUCACUUCACAAGCUACUUUUAUUGACUUCCUAUUGUAUUGCUGGUUCAAGUUAUCCUUUCCCAUCCUGACAUGACCUGUUACCCUGGAUCCAUUCAUGUUUGUAUGUCAAUAUUUCAUCCUGAACUGAGCUUAUAAAUAUGUGCAACUCCUCCUUCCUGUCAAAGUAGAAGAAAUCAAAAUAAGCAUAGAGUAUUACCUGUUGUCACUUCCAAACUCCUUGGAGCCACACGGUAUUCUUGCUGGAUUUUAUCUAGUAAGAUACACAUCCUCUUUUGUCUAUGUUCCUAGAAUUCAUUCCUCAGUUGCUCUUUCUGAAAUGUUCAGAAUAACUCUAUUAAGCACACUUUGCUUCUGCUGCAUUCCUUUUUACUGACUGAAGUUUGCAUUCAUUCAGGUGCAAUGAUGUUCUUGUGGGUAUUUUUGUGGGGUUUGCCGCUGCACUUUUGCUGCUUGCACUUUGUGGCACUGUCUUCUUGUGGUUUUAUGGAAGUUUUUGAACAACAGCUCUUGUAAUCAUCCUUGCAGGUAUAUCAUUCACAUUGAGCCAUGAACGCCUUGCACUUUUCAUAUCCUCACAAUCUAUGCCAAGAACAGCUUUGAGCAAUUCUGCAUAAGUUAUGCAAAUGAGAGGUUGCAGCAACAUUUCAACCGGCAUUUGUUAAAACUGGAGCAGGAAGUGAGCAUCUCACAUGGACCGUGUCUUUAGUUUUGUUCAGUAUUUAUAUGAUGGGUGUUGUCGCUAAAAGCAGGAUAUUCUUUUUUGAUUUAUUUCUGUCGUCAUUAUUUAUUGUGCAAAGAUUAGUUAUUGUGCAAGAUUAUAUAUUCUCUCAUUAUGUGUACUAUAAAGAAAAAUAUUUAUGUCA